This 896-nucleotide long non-coding RNA is filed under the name Homo sapiens (human). Its description in RNAcentral is "non-protein coding lnc-STK26-7:1". Lineage: Eukaryota; Metazoa; Chordata; Mammalia; Primates; Hominidae. The record is from RNAcentral.
UCCCUACAUGAUCAAAUUGUUUACGUCUAGGGGCAAGUCUCAAGGAGCUAGGCCUAGGAGGAAGACGACAAUUUUGAAAAAUUAAGGGCAGGAUUGGGGCAUUUCUAGGCAGCAGGCCACAUGUUCCUUAACUUGGCUUGCUAUUGUUAAAGAGAAAAUUAUUCCAGCACCUGUUAAAGUGAUAAGGAAGACUAUUCAAGACUACUGCAAUAGGGACAUUGCAAUAGGUGAGAAAUAGAUCAGUCUCCAUUCUGAGCAUAGCAAAGACAGCUGGAGAUUUAUAGUCAAGGAGCAGAGUGAGGGGGGUCAGUGCAUGGAACAUCACAGAGAGGAGACAUCAAGGGUAGGGGAAUUCUUGCCAAACUGAGUUAAGAUUCUUAUUAAAACUCCCAGCUACUCGGGAGGCUGAGGCAGGAGAUUUGCUUGAAACUGGGAAGCACAGAUUGCAGUGAGCCAAGAUCAUGCCACUGCACUCCAGCCUGGGCGACAGAGCAACACUCUGUCUCAAAAAAAAAAAAAAAAAAAAAAAGAAUCUACAAAUAUACUGUGUUGUUGUUAUCAUGGUCUUGCCUGGAUUGUCAAGCAUCUGGCAUCAGCACUGGGUCAGGUUGGCAGCUCUGCUAAUGCUAUCUCUUACAUGUUUGGGGGUAAAUUCACUGUAGAGACUGCUGGUCUCUCCUCCCCAUCCUGCAACAGGCCAGCCUGAGCAUAUUCAUACACUGGUAGCAGGUUUGCAAGGAAAAGUGGAAGCACACAAGUCUUGUGAGACUCAGAGCUGACACACCAUGACUUCAGAAUUUUAUUAACUAAAUCAAGUCACAAAGACAGCCCAGAUUCAAGAAAUAGGGAAAAAGAGUCCACCUUUUUCCUGGAAAAGGAACUGAAAAUUCACAUUC